Molecule: long non-coding RNA, 674 nt
Filed under: Capsicum annuum
Lineage: Eukaryota; Viridiplantae; Streptophyta; Magnoliopsida; Solanales; Solanaceae
Description: long non-coding RNA (CANN_LNC020796)
Source: RNAcentral
UAUUUUUGAAAGAUCCCCGAUAAAUAAAUUCACUUUUAAAUAGUAUAAGUGUGUGUAUUAAGUCAUUUUAAUAGUUUAAGUGUGUCUUCAACUUUUCGAGUAUAGUUUAAGGGGAAAAUGAUGACUUUAUCCAUAAAGAUAUUUAGAACAAUGUGGAAAGGAUGUUCAUGGCGGACAAAAUAAAGAGGAGAAACUGAGAUAAUUCCUGUACGAGAAAAGGAGAUACACCGAUGUCCGGUGAGGAAGUGUGAGAUACGGACCAUAUAGGGUAUAGCAAGUGGUAGAAGUAGGCGAAAAUAUUACAGAGAAGUGAUUAGACUAAACAUGACACACCUACAACUUACCGAGCAUAUGAUCCUAGAUAUGAGAAUAUAAAUGCCAAGAUAUCAAUAGAAGAUUAAUAGGUAGUCGAGUGUCAUCUAAUUUUACUUAUCCUUAUUGUUAUGAUUACUCUCCUGCUAUCUCAUUCUUCGAUUUUGCUAUUAUUACUAGGUGGAUCCGUUACUUCAAUUACUAUAUUAUUUGUUGUUGUUAUUAUUUUCUUUUUUUAAUUAUUUUUAACAUAAUUACCUACUAUACUUAAUCUUUUUAAUAUAUUUUAGUUGAGUUGACGUUUUAUCGGAAACAACCUUUCUGGUUUUACAAGGUUGAAACAAGUGUGCAUACUAUCAUCC